Non-coding RNA from Paramormyrops kingsleyae, 5091 nucleotides. NCBI's taxonomy places the organism in Eukaryota, Metazoa, Chordata, Actinopteri, Osteoglossiformes, Mormyridae. The record is from RefSeq and is a predicted model, not a curated record.
UCAACUGUAUGCAAUUCUAGACUGUACAUUCACUAUCUGGUAGAAAUAAUGUGACCUAAAUGGAAUUCUUUUAGGGAUACAUGGAACCAUUCCCUGCUUGUACCAGGGAAUUCCCAGACUGACCCAGCAUGAUUCUGGGGAUCAGGGGAUUUGGCCUGAAACAGAAUUUAAUUUCUCUGUAAUGGGGUCCCCAGCCCUGCCCCCAAUGGACUGGUAAUCCAUUCAGGUUGUGAUACCACCUAAGUUCUCGACUGCACUAAUUAUUUCUCUAAUUGAACUAUUGCAGUCUUCUGCCACACCACUAAGGUCAUUAGCUACCUAAAGAGAGGGAGGCCCCAUAAAUCCAGUGUGCAGUGCCAGGAUGGGUGACGGAGUGUGCCGUCACACCCCUCGCCAAUGCAAACACCCUACCCCAUCACCAGGGUGAGAAGGAUUUCAGGAAAAGCCUCUUGGGACGCAGCCAAUGUAGGAUUGCGGCUAAUCCGCACGACAGCCAUUAGUGGGACAUUUGGGCGUGGAUGUGCGACGUGUUUUGGGCUUGGCCUUGCAUAUUCGGCCGUAAUUCGCAUGCCCCGCUUUUCCGUGUUUGCCUUACGAGGCGGGAGAUGAAUUGCGACUGGCCUGAUCUCGAAUCCUGGCCCAGUGCGUCCUGCCAAGCGGCAGCGGGGUGUGAUCGAUGGCAGCCCGUCUCCAUAAAUCAGCUUAAGCACGAACAAAGCCAGACUUUAAAGUGCGCCAUCUUUGCGUAUGUAUUAUUUUUUAUUUUUUUGUCUCUUGUCCUGCUGUAAUUGCUGGUGUCAUUUAGCGAAAGGACAGUUAUGAAGCAAAGAUAAUUGGGCCCACGUUUUUUGCCUUUUUGCGUUGCCUUUUAAGAUCAGUGCUGGUCAGGGCAGUGUCUGUACGUCUGGAACUGCAACGUGACGUGCGUCUCUAUUUAACUAAAUCGAUAUGUGUGUCGGGGGGGGGUUGCUAUUUAACAACCACCCCCCCCCCAGCCCCCAGCCUUUGGGCGGGCGUCAUUUACAAAUGAGGAAAUCCUGCACAUUUGCAUUAACGAUCCGCCAAGAUCGACCGGCUCUGAUCGUCAGAACGCCGCUGAAAUGAAUCAGCCGCGUUGCUUUUUAACUCAUCUAUGGCGAGGAAGAAAGAUCCACUGUCCAUCCAGGGACAUAUAUUGAAUUCAUUUAUUAACAAAAGUGUGGCGUUAAUUACACAGACAGGCUUGUCACAGCUACGCUUUGAAAAGCAUCAUAAAAAGCGAUGAAAAACAGUGAAAUCUACCCGAAUAACGGAGUUUGAAAGGUAUGCUUGUAAUGGGAGCGGACGUUGCAUUUGACGUGGUUAUUAUCUAGCCGACGUGCAUUUCUGUGUAUCGCAGUAGCAUGACUCUCUUCCCGGUAAGUGGUUUGUAAAAUGGAUAGAUGGAUCGUAUCUGCCUGGCGGCCGUGACCAUCAUUUUUAUUUCAUUAUUUUCUUUCUGUUUUAUAUUUUUUUUACCUUAGUUAAGUGGCCGCUGAAGCACUGUGGAAUGUAGCGAUGAUUUAUAAAAGGUGAGUUUUUUUUUCUUGAAAAACAAAACGUAUCUGCAUGGAAUUAAAGGGGAAUUAGCUGGUAGCAUGAGAUAAUUAGCAGCUGAGGUGAGGGAGAUAAUUAGCAGUCAUGUGACUCUUUGGCUGGUGCCGCUGAGUAACAGGUGAGGUGACCAAGGGGGAGGGGCGGACGGGGGUUAUCGAGACUCCCGCUGUUCCCAGACGCUGUCCCCAGACGCUGUCCCCCGCGGUCUUAACAAUGGAAGAUUCGAUGUAAACAGCAACUCGGGCGAGAAUCGGGAAGGUCGGUCAGGAUAAGGAGGUGCAGCUUUUAAUAUUUUAAUUCAAGGACCCGUGUGGAACCGUGGAGAUAAGAGGAUUAAACGGCAAAUGUGAUCCAGCGGCUGGGAGAGCAGCAACGCAGUUCCUAGGCCCACUGACCUUGGGAUUCUGGUUUCUGUAAGCAGGUAUGGGGGUCCGGCUGGAUUAUCCGUUUUGUUUAGCAAUCAGCAGUCUGAGUCCUGGGCAGGGACGUGGAAGGAGCUUCAGGUAAGCGCCGGAAUACUUUGCAAAACUCUUAAGGACAGGAUUUCUCACGGUCCUGAGCAAAUGCGGACACACUUUGUAGCUGAUAACUCACUGUUUCUUCUUUUUUUUUUUUUUUUUGUUAAUCCCUUAUUCUUUUGGGAAUUACCUGGUACCAGGUGGGAGAAAGAGUCUCAAACGUGCGACUGAAGGUAUCAGACGGUGUGGGGAAAUCGGCCCUUUUCCACACAUGGGGAGACACGACUGGUGAAGGAUCUCAGACACGACACUCAGAGAAUCCCGCCAGAACAGGGACGGGCUUUUUAGUGCCGACUGGGGCGGGGAGCGUGGUGAAGGUCAGGGUUCACGGGAACUUUCCACUACAGGUUUAAUGGCAGAUUAGCUGUCGUCACCAUUAACCACCCAGGUUGCUGGUGGACUCCUGACUGCUUUUCCCCGCCUUCUCCACUGCCGUUCAGUCACAUUUUAUUAUGCAGAAGCUAUUCACGUCACGGGCUACAUUGCUGAUAUUAUCUCAAUUAAUCAAGCACUAUUGAGAAAGUCAUUCUCUUUUUCUGUGCCUUAGGUCCUGUUUCCAUUAGAGUUUUUGAGAGCGACAUUGAGAGUCAUAAUACAACAGCUAGUCAAUACCUAAUGUGACAGCAGCUGCUGAUUACAAUUAGGCAAAUUAUGGACUAGGGAAUGGGCAUUUUGAAUGGGAAUCUUGCUGACUGUACAAGGAACAGGGUAGGAAAUGUUCUGUGUGGAGAGAACGGACAGGAAUCAAAGGAGGUAUCCUAAACAAUGUUUAAAAUUCAUCUGGAACUCUGGUUCCAUAUCCAGGCUUGUUUUUCAAGAUUGUCCUCAAAUAUUUUCCAGGCUGACAAGGUAUGUUUUGGACUAUGCCAGUGACUGCAUAGAAUUAAAUAAUUCAAUCAGAAAAGAUGGUUUAAUAUAAAAGUAUUCCUUCUGGUAGGAUGGGGGGGGGGGAGGUGCAGUGAUUAUUAUAAAAAUGUCUUAUAAGUUUCUCUUGAAGUUUUAAUAGAAAUGGGGCUUACGUAUUUUUACUUAAAAUAGCAUUAUGCUCUUCCCAGUAACACCAGUAGCUGAGACAGGAGUGGUAAGUGAAGUGUUGGUUUGUGGUCAGCCACACCCGCAAAAUCUGAAAGGUCACUUUUUUAUUGUUUUUUCAUGUCUGCGAUAUGUUAUCGACAUUACCUUAACUAACAUACCUUUGGAGGUGGCCACAUCUGCUCAGCGUCUCUCUGAUAUUCUUGCUUCCUUUCCAGCAGCUGUGUAGCCGAGAAGGUUCUGUAUGGUCUUCGGGCACUGGAGGUGCAGGCGCCGGGUCACAGUUCGGCCAGCUGACGAGGUCACUUGUAUAUCUGGUGAGGAGCGAAAGCUCACGCAUGGUGAGCGUGCAGCCUGCUCCCGGCUCCAUUGGUGCUGAUCCGGUCCUGAAUACAGAUACGGUGCCCCUUCUGGCCGUUUCGGGUGAGGAUGCUCUGUAACCACGCCCACCGUGUUGCCACCGAAGCCGAGAACAGCUGGGUGUAGUUGCUUUCCGAGUGUCGUCGCACCCCUCCGUAGGCAGAAGAACACCGAACAUAACCUGGAAAAAUGUACAGACGGUCCCUUGAGCAAUUCAGGAUUAAGGGCCUUGCUCAUUGAUGACAUCACUCAGCCGGCCCUGGGAUGAUUCAAACCGGUGACCUUCCAAUCACAGACACGGCAUCCUAACCCGCUGAGCCACGCCAAUACAAAAAAAGACAAAAAAAAUAAAAAAUGAAAAACAAGCAGCACGCAGAUAAAUGCAGAACACAUACAGUCCUGAGCAUUCCGGAAUGAAACGGACAUACGGUUCGGUCACAUUUCAAGAAAAACAGAUUUCAAAGAGCUCAAAGGCCACCCCUUUGCCCAAAAAAUGAAUCAAGAACGGGUUGAUAAACACGGCUGUCACUUUCACGAAGCACGGUUUUAUCUCCAGCAUGGAUUUCUUUAACCAAGAUGAUUACUGCACAAUAUGCUGCUGGCUCGGUAGUAAAUCGCAGAAUCGUUACUGAAUCAUUAAAAGACACAUACAGGCAGGUCACCCAUUCUUUUGGCAUCGAGUUCAGGCAAGGCUGGACUAGCCAUUUGACACACUGGGCAUUUCCCCAGUGGGUUGAUGGGUUUGUGGGUGGGCAAAAUUUAUCGGACCCCCCCCCUCUAUUCCCCCCAAAUCAACAAAAUGCAUCGUGGCCGUGGCCCCAAAACCUGAUCAGCAAAAUUUACUGAGACCAUGUUUGUUGACAGAGCUGAUUUUUAAUUCCAGUCAAGCCAGGAGUUUUGGAGUCCUUGAAGGCAAAGACCCGUAACCCUUGGCGAAGCAUCGUCGCCAGGGCAACCAGGCACAUGACCUAGCCUUACGGAUGCCCCAUAAUUGUAAUGCAUUACUGCAGAUGAUAUUCAGCCUGAACAUGCACGAUCUGCUCGGAAUAGAUGAAGUGCUUUGCUAAGGAGCACAAUAACUGCACCCAUCUCGGGACAACUUUCAGGUGCACUUAUCUUGUGGUCUUGGUUGAAUCAGGUGACUUUAAAGUUACACCUUCUAACAGCAGCUCCGCCAGAGUGGGUGAGGGGGAGGGGGGGGCAUGUUUUAUGUUUAUCUUUGCUGAUACUGCACGCUGACUGGCUGUUGAUUUGCACCUCCUUUUCCACAACACACCUCCCUGAUAACAGCUUCCCUGCUCAUCUCCAUGGCAGUUGACAGUGCCGGUUCUGUUUGUGUACAGUGGAGAGCAGUCAAUAUGCCCACGGUUCCAUUCGCCGGGAUUCAUGCCUGACAGAUUGCUUUGGCAUAUGUGCGAUUUAUCAGGUGCUAAAUAAUUUAGUCUGGUUAAAAUAUUUACAGAGUGGGAAUCCAUUCAAAGUAAAGGAACAAGGAACUAGAAAAUACAAAUAUCAGCGGCGAUAAGGACCAGUCUGGCCUCAUGACCAGUUAACAAAAUUUCCAUAAUGUUCUCCUGGGAUCAAUAAAGUUCAUGUUAUCUCAAAA